GACGAACGCUGGCGGCGCGCUUAACACAUGCAAGUCGAACGGAAAGGCCUUCUUUCCCUUUUGGAUUGCAGGUACUCGAAUUUCGAACGGGUGAGUAACACGGUAGGGAUCUUCCCCCAACUUGGGGAUAAACCUGGGAAACUGGUUCUAAUUCCCGCUAAGACUUCAUGGUUGUGCCUGUGUUGGAAAACAGUUUUCUAGUGGCUGGGGAUGAGCGCGCGUCCUAUCAGCUGGUUGGUGGGGUAAUUGCCGACCAAGGCGGCGACGGGUAGCCGGCCGGGGAGGGUCGCCGGCCACAUGGGGACUGAGACACGCCCCAGAGUGAGACGGGAGGCAGCAGUGGGGAAUAAUGGACAAUGGGCGGACGGCGGAAGCAGGGACGCGGCGUGGGGGAUGACGGAUUGCGGGUUGUAAACUCCUUACGAGAGCGAGUAAGCGACCUGGUUGGAAGGGUGGUGACGGUAGUGGUAGAAGAAGCACCGGCUAACUACGUG
Molecule: ribosomal RNA, 494 nt
Filed under: uncultured bacterium
Lineage: Bacteria
Description: partial 16S ribosomal RNA
Rfam family: Bacterial small subunit ribosomal RNA
Source: RNAcentral